AUUGGCUUGGCGGGUGAGUUUAACGCCUUCAUUGUGCCUCCUUCCUUGGUGGCCUUGAGGCCUAAUCGCUUGGCCUCGUCUAUGGUCACGAAGUUGUCUGUCGCUCUCGUGUCUAGCAGCGCGCGAACGGACUGCCAUUUAUCUUUGCGCUAACAUACAUGAACCCUUUCUUGACGGGUGUGGUUGUUGGCGAUUAAGUGCGCCGAGGCGUUGGAGAGAACCCAUGUAGAGUUGGGGUUCCUCCGAGGACAUUGUGGGGUUGCUAUUUAGUUGGGCAGCAAGAGCGUUGAGCGACUUCUUUUCCGGACAAUCGCGUAGCCAAUGAGGGCCAUUGCAUAUAAAACAUGGGCUUCGCGGUUUCGGUGCCUCCUUCUUGCCCUCCGAUCUACCUUGCCUACUCCUGCUGCUAGGCGGCUUUUUCUGCCCCCAAUCUUUGCGGCUGUUGCCCUUGUCCUUGCGACUCUCUCCUCCCACCUUUGCCUUGGUUGGCCUUUUUGUCUUUAGAUUGGGUAGAGUAUUCAGUGAGCGAUUCCGCAACGGCGAUGGCGUCGUCGAGCGUUUGAACACCACGCCUAUCAAGCUCGGUCCUGGCUCAAUCCUUGAGGCCAUCUUGGAAGUAAAAGAGUGAGUCCUUGUCGGACAUGUCGCUUAUCUCCAACAUGAGGGUAGUAAACUCAUUGAUGUAGUCCCGCAUACUACCCGAUUGUUUGAGGCGACGUAAGCGCGUAGUAAACUCAUUGAUGUAGUCCCGCAUACUACCCGAUUGUUUGAGGCGAUGUAUGCGCGCUUGCGUUUCCUUUUCCGCAUUGUUUGGGACGAAUUGUUUUCGGAGUUCUUGCUUGAAGUUGGCCCAAGUGUCGAUGGUACAGAUUCCCUUGCCCAUCUCGCCAUGCUUGCGACGCCACCAUAGUUGUGCAGCGCCUCUAAGANNNN
RNAcentral lists this long non-coding RNA (933 nucleotides) under Nicotiana benthamiana. RNAcentral describes it as "long non-coding RNA (NBEN_LNC015520)". Lineage: Eukaryota; Viridiplantae; Streptophyta; Magnoliopsida; Solanales; Solanaceae. The record is from RNAcentral.